AUUGAACGCUGGCGGCAUGCCUUACACAUGCCAGUCGAACGGUAACGGGCCUUCGGGUGCCGACGAGUGGCGAACGGGUGAGUAAUACAUCGGAACGUGCACGAUCGUGGGGGAUAACGAGGCGAAAGCUUUGCUAAUACCGCAUACGAUCUACGGAUGAAAGCAGGGGACCGCAAGGCCUUGCGCGGACGGAGCGGCCGAUGGCAGAUUAGGUAGUUGGUGGGAUAAAAGCUUACCAAGCCGACGAUCUGUAGCUGGUCUGAGAGGAUGAUCAGCCACACUGGGACUGAGACACGGCCCAGACUCCUACGGGAGGCAGCAGUGGGGAAUUUUGGACAAUGGGCGCAAGCCUGAUCCAGCCAUGCCGCGUGCAGGAUGAAGGCCUUCGGGUUGUAAACUGCUUUUGUACGGAACGAAAAGCCUUCUUUUAAUACAGGAGGGUCAUGACGGUACCGUAAGAAUAAGCACCGGCUAACUACGU
RNAcentral lists this ribosomal RNA (481 nucleotides) under uncultured bacterium. Its description in RNAcentral is "partial 16S ribosomal RNA". It matches the Rfam family "Bacterial small subunit ribosomal RNA", at positions 30 to 506 of the family's 1533-position model. The record is from RNAcentral.